ACGAUUUAAAAAAUAAAUAAAUGGACAUGACAUGCAAGUGCUAAAAAUAAUGAAAGAAAUAAUAGAAUAACAAGAAUACCAAAAAAAUAAAAAUAAAAUAAAAAUGACAAUAAUAAAGAAAAAAUUACGCUAAUAAAAGCAUGUAUGCAAUCUAAUUCUUAAGUGUAAAAAAAUUACGCUAGUAGUUAAGUCAAUGGUACCAUUGAAGGCCCCCCAGGAUCUUAUGGUUUUCCACCACUAUUUUUUCAGCGGUUUUGGCAUAUUGUUGGUGAUGAGG
This 277-nucleotide long non-coding RNA is filed under the name Gossypium raimondii (Peruvian cotton). RNAcentral describes it as "long non-coding RNA (GRAI_LNC008713)". Lineage: Eukaryota; Viridiplantae; Streptophyta; Magnoliopsida; Malvales; Malvaceae. The record is from RNAcentral.